GUUAAGAAGCUCCACUGUGCUCUGUCCAUUGCAAGUUGAGAGGUGAGGCCACAGCGGCCACAUACAGCUCCAUCACAAGAGGGAGCCCCAUCCCUAGUCCCCAUCCUUAAAGCUCUCUGCGUGUUGGCUGCUGUUAGUCUUGACUACCCUGUGGGAGCUAAAGCCCUGGACCUGAGAAUAGAAGGCAAGCAGUGGUGGCUGAGAGGAAGGACAGACACCUUUGUGCUACCAGAGCCCUUUCCAGAUGUGCUGUUGGUGGCCCUGUCGGAGUCUGUUGGCCAUAUACCUGGGUAUCAAAUCAAGAAAGCAUGAGAAGUUGAACAGGAAAUAUCCAAGGCAAAAUGGUUACUAAAGGCCAUCCCUGACCCUGACCCCAAAAGAAGAAAAGACCCUUUGCUCUUGGCAUGCUUUUGCAGGAGUGUCUCAGUCUGUUCAGGCUGCUAUAACAUUGACUGAGUG
This is a long non-coding RNA of Saimiri boliviensis boliviensis (Bolivian squirrel monkey), 459 nucleotides long. RefSeq lists it as uncharacterized. The record is from RefSeq and is a predicted model, not a curated record. NCBI's taxonomy places the organism in Eukaryota, Metazoa, Chordata, Mammalia, Primates, Cebidae.